AUUGAACGCUGGCGGCAGGCCUAACACAUGCAAGUCGAACGGUAACAGGAAGAAGCUUGCUUCUUUGCUGACGAGUGGCGGACGGGUGAGUAAUGUCUGGGAAACUGCCUGAUGGAGGGGGAUAACUACUGGAAACGGUAGCUAAUACCGCAUAACGUCGCAAGACCAAAAAGGGGGACCUUCGGGCCUCUUGCCAUCGGAUGUGCCCAGAUGGGAUUAGCUAGUAGGUGGGGUAACGGCUCACCUAGGCGACGGUCCCUAGCUGGUCUGAGAGGAUGACCAGCCACACUGGAACUGAGACACGGUCCAGACUCCUACGGGAGGCAGCAGUGGGGAAUAUUGCACAAUGGGCGCAAGCCUGAUGCAGCCAUGCCGCGUGUAUGAAGAAGGCCUUCGGGUUGUAAAGUACUUUCAGCGGGGAGGAAGGGAGUAAAGUUAAUACCUUGGCUCAUUGACGUUACCCGCAGAAGAAGCACCGGCUAACUCCGUG
This 490-nucleotide ribosomal RNA is filed under the name uncultured bacterium. RNAcentral describes it as "partial 16S ribosomal RNA". It matches the Rfam family "Bacterial small subunit ribosomal RNA", at positions 30 to 507 of the family's 1533-position model. The record is from RNAcentral.